Molecule: ribosomal RNA, 305 nt
Filed under: uncultured bacterium
Lineage: Bacteria
Description: bacterial SSU rRNA
Rfam family: Bacterial small subunit ribosomal RNA
Source: RNAcentral
UGGGACCUACGGGGCGCAGCAGUGGGGGAUAUUGGACAAUGGGGGGAACCCUGAUCCAGCGACGCCGCGUGAGUGAAGAAGUAUUUCGGUAUGUAAAGCUCUGUCAGCAGGGAAGAAAGAAAUGACGGUACCUGACCAAGAAGCCCCGGCUAACUACGUGCCAGCAGCCGCGGUAAUAAGUAGGGGGCAAGCGUUAUCCGGAAUUACUGGGUGUAAAGGGAGCGUAGACGGUUAAGUAAGUCUGGAGUGAAAGGCAGGUGCCCAACCCCGGGACUGCUCUGGAAACUAUCUAACUUGAGUGCAGG